Molecule: ribosomal RNA, 878 nt
Filed under: Lacticaseibacillus rhamnosus
Lineage: Bacteria; Bacillati; Bacillota; Bacilli; Lactobacillales; Lactobacillaceae
Description: bacterial SSU rRNA
Rfam family: Bacterial small subunit ribosomal RNA
Source: RNAcentral
UAACCGAGGAAGUGCAUCGGAAACUGGGAAACUUGAGUGCAGAAGGAGGACAGUGGAACUCCAUGUGUAGCGGUGAAAUGCGUAGAUAUAUGGAAGAACACCAGUGGCGAAGGCGGCUGUCUGGUCUGUAACUGACGCUGAGGCUCGAAAGCAUGGGUAGCGAACAGGAUUAGAUACCCUGGUAGUCCAUGCCGUAAACGAUGAAUGCUAGGUGUUGGAGGGUUUCCGCCCUUCAGUGCCGCAGCUAACGCAUUAAGCAUUCCGCCUGGGGAGUACGACCGCAAGGUUGAAACUCAAAGGAAUUGACGGGGGCCCGCACAAGCGGUGGAGCAUGUGGUUUAAUUCGAAGCAACGCGAAGAACCUUACCAGGUCUUGACAUCUUUUGAUCACCUGAGAGAUCAGGUUUCCCCUUCGGGGGCAAAAUGACAGGUGGUGCAUGGUUGUCGUCAGCUCGUGUCGUGAGAUGUUGGGUUAAGUCCCGCAACGAGCGCAACCCUUAUGACUAGUUGCCAGCAUUUAGUUGGGCACUCUAGUAAGACUGCCGGUGACAAACCGGAGGAAGGUGGGGAUGACGUCAAAUCAUCAUGCCCCUUAUGACCUGGGCUACACACGUGCUACAAUGGAUGGUACAACGAGUUGCGAGACCGCGAGGUCAAGCUAAUCUCUUAAAGCCAUUCUCAGUUCGGACUGUAGGCUGCAACUCGCCUACACGAAGUCGGAAUCGCUAGUAAUCGCGGAUCAGCACGCCGCGGUGAAUACGUUCCCGGGCCUUGUACACACCGCCCGUCACACCAUGAGAGUUUGUAACACCCGAAGCCGGUGGCGUAACCCUUUUAGGGAGCGAGCCGUCUAAGGUGGGACAAAUGAUUAGGGUGAA